Pseudocohnilembus persalinus is the source of this 71-nucleotide non-coding RNA. The record is from Rfam. Lineage: Eukaryota; Ciliophora; Oligohymenophorea; Philasterida; Pseudocohnilembidae.
ACAGGUGUGGUGUAGGGGUAACAUGGGACUUUGCCAUAGUCUCGCCCCGGGUUCGAUUCCCGGCACCUGUA